RNAcentral lists this long non-coding RNA (544 nucleotides) under Homo sapiens (human). Its description in RNAcentral is "KDM2B divergent transcript (KDM2B-DT)". The record is from RNAcentral. Lineage: Eukaryota; Metazoa; Chordata; Mammalia; Primates; Hominidae.
GGCCGACUCAAAUUCAAAGCAUUUUGUAUAUAUAACUGUUUUCUUUUUUUGCUUUUCUGCUGCAUGUCUUUUUCGUGGGGGGUGAUCCUCUGCAGAUCCCCCCAUUUGCGGACCCGCCAUGUGGAGGAGGCAUUUGGGGGGCUCAGAAGGAAAUUAGCUCGGCUUCCAUACCUAUAAGGACUGCCUAACUUUUAAACUCCCGGCACUCAAAGAUGUGGACACACACACGUACAGGAAAUACAGCCAGACCAGAGCCUUUGCAGUCCGCAGCUGACCGGAAGACGUUGCCUUUCAUUCAUUCAUUCUGCCCGCCUCUGUGGACUCCUUUACUAGGCGACCAGCCCUGAAACAGAAGUUGGACAUUUUUUAAAGGUUCUUGCGCUCGGCAAGGGGAGCAGAUAGAUGCUCAGGAGCGAAAGACGCAGAGAAUUGGAUCUGGCGCCUCCUAACGCAGCCCGCACAGGAGCGAAGGAGAGUGUGACGAUCCCCCUGAUGCGGCUGAGAUGUUCUGAAAUGAAGACGUUGGCUCUCAUCCCCAGCCUGA